AGAGUUUGAUCAUGGCUCAGGAUGAACGCUAGCGGCAGGCCUAACACAUGCAAGUCGAGGGGUAUAAGGAGCUUGCUCCUUAGAGACCGGCGCACGGGUGCGUAACGCGUAUGCAAUCUACCUUGUACAGGGGGAUAGCCCAGAGAAAUUUGGAUUAAUACCCCAUUGUAUUAUGAAAUGGCAUCAUUUUAUAAUUAAAGUUCCAACGGUACAAGAUGAGCAUGCGUCCCAUUAGUUAGUUGGUGUGGUAACGGCACACCAAGACGAUGAUGGGUAGGGGUCCUGAGAGGGAGAUCCCCCACACUGGUACUGAGACACGGACCAGACUCCUACGGGAGGCAGCAGUAAGGAAUAUUGGACAAUGCCCGCAAGGGUGAUCCAGCCAUGCCGCGUGCAGGAAGACGGCCCUAUGGGUUGUAAACUGCUUUUAUACCGGAGAAAACCCCCCUACGUGUAGGGGGCUGAUAGUAUGGUAAGAAUAAGCAUCGGCUAACUUCGUGCCAGCAGCCGCGGUAAUA
RNAcentral lists this ribosomal RNA (518 nucleotides) under uncultured bacterium. RNAcentral describes it as "bacterial SSU rRNA". It matches the Rfam family "Bacterial small subunit ribosomal RNA", at positions 8 to 525 of the family's 1533-position model. The record is from RNAcentral.